UCUUCUUUUUGAGCUGGAGCGGAAGAGCUCAACCUCCGUCCCCUUUUCGGGAAGACCAGGAUAUUUUUAGCCGCCCGGCUCAGGGAGUUGGGAUUUGCCGUGGCCGCCUCUGUCCACCCUCCCCCCCAUCCUGCCUCAGCAUCCCUCAUCCGCAACCUGCACCAGGGCAGGGGGCCGCAUCCUGCCCUGACAACAGCUCUUCUGGGUGCCUGUGUGAUGCCUGCGGUCCCCCGGGGGUCUCUGUGCGAUGCCUGUGGUCACCCAGGGGUCCCUGGCUCUCUUUUGGCAACGGGAAGCGGCAGGUUUGGUGUUAAUUCGGGUGUCAGCUCCGCAGGCAUCACCCCUCCCUUCACACCCGCAGCCGGCUGCUCCCCUCCGCGCUGCGCCGCCCUCACCAGGUCCAUGGAGUGACCCCGUGGGGGGGUCCCUGCACCGGCGCAGCCCCCGGCCGCCGGCCCGGCGCUGAGCGAGGCCGCCGCGAACAUGAGCGACUUCUGGCACAAGCUGGGCUGCUGCGUCGUGGAGAAGCCACAGCCGAAGAAGAGGAGGAGACGGAUCGACCGCUCCAUGAUUGGAGAACCCAUGAACUUCGUCCACCUGACGCACAUCGGCUCCGGAGACAUGGCUGCGGGUGAAGGCCUGCCCAUGACUGGUGCUGUCCAGGAGAUGAGAUCCAAGGGUGGACGGGAGCGACAGUGGAACAACUCCCGGGUCUUGUAGCAUGUGAGUACAGAGCCGUGCGCCCAGCCGUGGCAGCCCCAGCACCCACUGCCCGCCCCGAGCCACCACCACCCGUUAACACACCCGGAGAAGCCGCUGUGGGUGCGGGUCUGUAACCUGGCUGCUUGCACUUUGCAGAUUCCUGUUUUUUUCAGCCCAAACUUAAACUGCCCGAUCCCCCAACCAGAGAAGAAGCCGAUCUCGAGCGCUUUAACCCUGCGGUAAUUUAUGCAGAGCAAUCCUUGCCUGGCUCCCGGUGGCUUUUGGUCGUCAUCCCCCCUGGCAAAUCCCUCCCCGCUGGAGGCGUGGGGUCAGUGGCGCGGGGGGCAAUGGGCACGGCAGCCCCCGCCUCGUGCCCGACCAGCGGAAGGACGCGUGCCAGGAGCUGCCGGGCACAGCCGGGAUGUGCCAAACCCUCCCGGCUUUCCUUGCUCCGUACCUGUGCCUCGGCGCCGGGCCGCGGUGCCUCGCUUGCGCCGGGGGAUCACGGCGGGGCUGCUCCUGGUGCCGAGGCCGGGUCGGUGCCCUCUCGGGAAGGCGCACAACAGCAAAACUGGGAUUAGACCCUGAUGCUUGUGUCUCGUCAGCAGCGGCUCAGCACCGGCACCAUCCACGAGCCUGUGGUGCCUCCAGCCAGCGGUGCCACCACUGGCAAACUGCCACCUUCCUCCUUUUUUAGGAUAUAUAUAUAUUUUUUAAGCUCAAAAACCCAAGCAGGCAGCCUCUGACGCCUCAGAGGAAGGACUGUGGUGUGCUCCCCUCGCGCUGGGGUCACCACCAGGGUUUCACUGGCACUGGCCGAGGCAGGACGGGGCCUGACCAAGAAGGCGCUGGGGCUCCUGAAUUCGGGCACGGGUGUAUAUAGUUUAAAUAGCGCCAGGAUUCAAUAUGAAAUAGCAAAUGCCGGGCAUCACAGGCGGGUGGCAGAGGCUUUCACCCUGCUCCCUGCCACACCGGGAUGCUCCCGUGAGGAACCGGGCUCUUCCAGCCCCGUGGUGUGCUUGGUGUUGGUGAGUGAGUGCCGAUGCUUGGUCCGGUUUUCCCUCCCCUGGGAAAAACAACCCAUCCUUGAAAUAAACCCCUUGUGCUGG
Long non-coding RNA from Strigops habroptila (Kakapo), 1811 nucleotides. NCBI's taxonomy places the organism in Eukaryota, Metazoa, Chordata, Aves, Psittaciformes, Psittacidae. The record is from Ensembl.